UCGAGUCUUGACUGGGUUGUAGCUGGCCUUCCGGGGCAUGUGCACGCCCUGCUCAUCCACUCUACACCUGUGCACUUACUGUGGGCUUCAGAUCGUGAAGCGGGCUCUUUACCGGGCUUUGCGGAAGCGUGUCUGCGCCUGCGUCUAUCACAAACCCUAUAAAGUAUCGGAAUGUGUAUCGCGAUGUAACGCAUCUAUAUA
Molecule: unclassified non-coding RNA, 201 nt
Filed under: uncultured Ganoderma
Lineage: Eukaryota; Fungi; Basidiomycota; Agaricomycetes; Polyporales; Polyporaceae
Description: sequence contains ITS1
Source: RNAcentral